Zea mays is the source of this 1300-nucleotide RNA transcript. RefSeq lists it as uncharacterized. The transcript is spliced from 5 exons. Lineage: Eukaryota; Viridiplantae; Streptophyta; Magnoliopsida; Poales; Poaceae. The record is from RefSeq and is marked validated.
CCCCUUUUCCCGCAACUUCCGUGACGACUUCACCACUACAUCCAUGCCACCGGCGACUUCAUGGCCUCCCCAUUCAGCCUCUCCUUCCCAAGACAAAGAUGGUUCCAGGGAGGAAGGGAUUUAAUGCACAAGGGAACCCAGCAGGACUGAUUACUCUUCACCUCCUCAAGGAAAGCAGAAGUUCAGGUGCAAUUCAAGGAUGUUCCUGAUGACAUUUUAGAAUGAUAUGGGCUGUCAUAUUGAUAGCUUUAUUGUUGUGGUCACAUACACAUUUAAUUGAAAAUGGGCUUGUCACAGGUAGAACUACUGAUGUUCUUGCUGUUGCCAACACAGUGGCAGAAUUGCUUCAGAAUCAUUGUUGACUCCCCCUAAGCAUAUAUAUUUGAAAGAUGUUAGAAGUGGUGACCUAACUAAGUAUUUCCUUUCUCAUUUUUUGGCGUCUAAUUAUGUGUUCAUUUCAUUACUGAAGCAAUUCAAAAUAUGGAUGUUACUUAAUCAAUUCAGAAAGUUGCUGAUGCUUAUGAUUGCAAAGUUCUGGAAACACUUGCAAGCAUUAUGUUUCUGCUGGAAUUUGCUCUAGGUAUUUUCCUGCACAAGUUCUAUGGUUUUGUUCUUAGCUAACACUACAAGUGUGGAUGAAUCUGGGAAGCAGCAUUUCCUUGAUGCAUCAGUUGCUUACAAGCGUGUAGUCCUGAACGACAUCGAAUACCUUGCUAGGUUUGGGUACUCCAAGGAGCAGGAUCUCUGGAAUAGUAGACUCUCCUUAUGCAGUGUCAACUCUUGACAUCCCUACAACAAUAUUUGAUCAGGAUGAUAUGGAGCAAUGGUGGCAGCACUAGUUGAAGAUGAUCAGCUUGUGAAGUCUUUUACACAAGUUGUUUUCCACGUUUUGUCGAGCUCAAGUAAAUUCCUUCACAAUGUUGGCCUUCAGUAUGUCUCCAAGACAAGCUUAGUUUCAUCAAAAGUGCAAGAACUCUAAUCUCAACUAGAGACUAAGACAAGAAAAACGAUAGACUUUGGCGAAAAUGGAAACCUUGAAGGCGUCACAAGAAUUUGCAGCCACUGUAGCUAAUCAACCAAUUGAGGUCAAGGCGUCACAAGAAUUUGCAGCCACUGUAGCUAAUCAACCAAUUGAGGUCGAAGAUUUUAAGAAGUUGCUAAUAGAAAAUAAUACUCGGUCGAAGAUUUAAAGAUAGACUCUUAAUGUUUGAUGAAAUUAUAUGCACAAUUUGGAUUGCAUUCAAGUGUACGUUGAUUUUUAUUAAUUGGUGAUGAAAUAAAAAUGUCAUAGUUUGUUUGA